Molecule: long non-coding RNA, 1038 nt
Organism: Protopterus annectens (West African lungfish)
Lineage: Eukaryota; Metazoa; Chordata; Ceratodontiformes; Protopteridae
Exons: 2
Source: RefSeq, a predicted model, not a curated record
GCAAGACAAAGAUAUCAAAUGGUUCCUUAAAUGGGAAAGCUAAGAAAAAAGGAUCAAGUAAGCAUCUUUGCAGCACUCCUACUCCUUCAUUAGGUAGAAGAUUCUCACCCCUACCAAACCAAAGGCAUACAGAAAUGCAAGAUAAAAGAGAAGUAUUUUCCCCAAACCUGUCUACUUCUCCAAAACCUAUUCUGAAGAGAGAGAUACAUACAGCCAAGCCUUGUGUAAAUCAAAGUACAGGACAGAAAAAUGCAAAUAAAAAUACUGCCACAUCAAAGCUGAAAAAUCAGAGCAAAACAGGCAACAGCUUAUGAUUGAUGCUGUUCCCGGAGGUGCCAAAUAAGCCAGAAAUGUAUUUACAGAGAAAAGAACACUGGUUGCGAAAAUUUCGUCUUGAAACAAUUUAUCUAAAUGCACUUUAAUCCAUGUCACUGGCCUACAUUUUGCAGUGAAUGGUUCUAGACUAGUGUGUGUAAACACCACACUUCAGGUUCUUCAGAAAUUGUAAAUGUGUUUUGUAUGUUGAUGUACAGUAUAUAUUUCUUGUACAGCCAGCCUUCACUGUAUAUGUAAGCAAUGUUUGAGAUGCUUGAACUUGAUUUGCUGUGUUUGCACAUAUGUUCAUAAAUAUUUCUGUACAGUGUUAGUAAACUAUAAAUGAAAACUGAACGGCGCAUCUACUCAAGUGAAAAUGUUAUACUCCACAGUUUUUUUGCAGUGUUUCAGUAUUCACUUGAUCAAACUUUGUUUUCAAGAAGACAGAUUUAUAUACAGUGUGAAUAUUACCAGACACUUCUCACUGUCUUACUGAUCAUUAUCAGCAUUCCAGUUUACAUGAAGGAAGUUAGAUGCAAACAGUUUCUUUACCAUUUAAGACUUGGCCUUGCGUUCAUAUUUAAAUAGAAUGUGUUCGGAUGAACUGUAUGCUCAUAAGCUAAGUAGACAACAAAUCUAACAUAUAUAACAUGUUGUGGUCUGCUUGUAUACAGAUUUGUCAUUGUUUUAAACCAUAAAAGGAUGAUUGAUUAUUUUACCUUA